UACGGGGGGGGCAAGCGUUGUUCGGAAUUAUUGGGCGUAAAGGGUUCGUAGGUGGCCGGCUAAGUCAGACGUGAAAUCCCUCAGCUUAACCGGGGAACUGCGUCUGAGACUGGUCGGCUUGAGUGCAGGAGAGGAACGCGGAAUUCCAGGUGUAGCGGUGAAAUGCGUAGAUAUCUGGAGGAACACCGGUGGCGAAGGCGGCGUUCUGGACUGCUACUGACACUGAGGAACGAAAGCCAGGGGAGCAAACAGG
Molecule: ribosomal RNA, 253 nt
Filed under: uncultured bacterium
Lineage: Bacteria
Description: partial 16S ribosomal RNA
Rfam family: Bacterial small subunit ribosomal RNA
Source: RNAcentral